AGCCUGCAGAACUGUGAGUCAAUUAAACCUCUUUUCUUUAUAAAUUGCCCUGUCUCAGGUAGUUCUUUACAGCAAUGUGAGAAUGGACUAAUACAAAGGUAGUGUUUUUCUUUUCUUUUUUUUUUUUUUUUAAUAGAGUGAGAAUAAUCCCUCUCACCCUAUCUCUUAGUUUUCUUCCAUGCUCUUUUUGAAUGAAAGCCUCUCUCCACUUUAGCCAGAAAACCAACCAUAAUUAUUGCCCUGUUUUCCUAACAGGGCAGUGGACUAUGGAAUGAGAUGAGAAACUUGUGUUAAUGACAACUAAAUUACUGGCCCAGUGAUUCCCUUUUUCUCCCUUCAUUAAUAUCUACAAGAAACCAGUAUUUCCAGUGCAUUGGCCUCGUUUGAUGUUAGGACCUGGAAGAAAAAGAUAGAACAGCACAGUUGAAAAGAAAACCUCUGUGGAAGCAACCCAGAUGCCCAUUGAUGGACGACUGGAUCAAAAACAUGUGGUGUCAGCCCAAGAGAAGUUAAAGCACAUGCCCAUACCAAUAUUUUCAUGUGAAUAACACUCUCCAUAAUAACCAAAAAGUGGAAACAGUACAAAUCUCCAACAACUGCUGAAUGGAUAUACAAAAUGUGGUAUAUCCCUACAAUGGAAUACUAUUCAGUAAUGAAAAAGGAAAGAAGGACGGAUACAUGCAACAACAUGGAAUAAUCUCCAAAACCUUAUGCCAACAGAAAAAAGACGUAAAACAGCACCAUCCAAACUUGAGGUUUCAAUAUUGAGACAGAUGAUGCCACGGACACACCAAGAGGGUAUGAAAAAGUUUAUAAUGCACACAAUGAGACUUUCUGGGGAUGGCAGAACAGACUUUCCAAAUUGGUCUGGUAAUGACUUGAAUAGCGAGAAAGGGGAGACCAGCUUGGGGUUUUUAUUGCGGUUAGGUGGCAGGACUCGGGUGAGGGUUCUCCUUAUGGGCAGGACUUGCAUGAUUUGAAACUCCCACAAUUACCAAAGAAGGGGAUAUCUGGAAUUUAUUAUAGGCUUCUCCAAAUGUGAGCUGAAGGGGAUGAAAGAUAGGUGUGACUUCAAAGCC
This 1079-nucleotide long non-coding RNA is filed under the name Homo sapiens (human). RNAcentral describes it as "HSALNT0102193". The record is from RNAcentral. Lineage: Eukaryota; Metazoa; Chordata; Mammalia; Primates; Hominidae.